AGAGUUUGAUCAUGGCUCAGGACGAACGCUGGCGGCGCGCUUAACACAUGCAAGUCGAGCGAGAACCAUGGCUUCGGCCAUGGGGACAGCGGCGAACGGGUGAGUAACACGUGGGUAAUCUGCCCUCGGCACCGGGAUAGCCCGGGGAAACCCGGAUUAAUACCGGAUGGCCUCUCGAGCUCUUGGGCUCGUGAGAAAAGGUAGCUUCGGCCUCCGGCCGAGGAGGAGCCCGCGGCGGAUUAGCUUGUUGGUGGGGUAAUGGCCCACCAAGGCGACGAUCCGUAGCUGGUGUGAGAGCAUGACCAGCCACACUGGGACUGAGACACGGCCCAGACUCCUACGGGAGGCAGCAGUGGGGAAUCUUGCGCAAUGGGCGAAAGCCUGACGCAGCGACGCCGCGUGCGGGAAGAAGGCCUUCGGGUUGUAAACCGCUUUCAGGAGGGACGAAGCCACUCGGGUUAAUAGCCCAGAGGGUGACGGUACCUCCAGAAGAAGCCCCGGCUAACUACGUGCCAGCAGCCGCGGUAAUACGUAGGGGGCGAGCGUUGUCCGGAUUUAUUGGGCGUAAAGCGCGUGUAGGCGGCUUGGUAGGUCUGCUGUGAAAACUCGGGGCUCAACCCCGAGACGUCGGUGGAAACCACCUGGCUAGAGUCCGGAAGAGGAGAGUGGAAUUCCUGGUGUAGCGGUGAAAUGCGCAGAUAUCAGGAAGAAUAUCCGUGGCGAAGGCGGCUCUCUGGUACGGCACUGACGCUGAGACGCGAAAGCGUGGGGAGCGAACAGGAUUAGAUACCCUAGUAGUCC
Molecule: ribosomal RNA, 801 nt
Filed under: uncultured bacterium
Lineage: Bacteria
Description: bacterial SSU rRNA
Rfam family: Bacterial small subunit ribosomal RNA
Source: RNAcentral